UGCCCAACAAGUNGCCCCUAAAAUGGCAUGGCGCUCAAGCUCCGUCCCGAUGCCGGCCCGCCGGUGGCACUAACGGCUCUUCUUUCGGAGAGACCUCGAGGCCCCGGCGAGUAGGAAGGCGCAGCGGUGAGCGUCGAAGGCUUCGGUGUAAACCGGGCUGGAGCCGCCGCUGGUGCAGAUCUUGGUGGUAGUAGCAAACAUUCAAUCAUGGCAUCUCUAAUUGUUGACCGAAGCGGAGAAGGGUUCCACGGCAACAGCAAUUGACCGUGGGUGAGUCGGUCCUAAGGCCCGGGCUAACCUCCCGUCACUUCAAAUCGAGGUCCUGGUUUUCAGCGUUGCAAAACAAAGAAUCUAUCCAGCCGACCUUUUGGCCGAAAGGGAAAGCGUCUUAACAUUACGCUACCUGACCAUAUACCAUGGCAUACGCGAUCAAAGCGUUG
RNAcentral lists this ribosomal RNA (440 nucleotides) under Lucifer hanseni. RNAcentral describes it as "LSU rRNA". It matches the Rfam family "Eukaryotic large subunit ribosomal RNA", at positions 1295 to 1663 of the family's 3401-position model. The record is from RNAcentral. Lineage: Eukaryota; Metazoa; Arthropoda; Malacostraca; Decapoda; Luciferidae.